Small nucleolar RNA from Nerophis ophidion (straightnose pipefish), 64 nucleotides. RefSeq annotates it as small nucleolar RNA SNORD42. Lineage: Eukaryota; Metazoa; Chordata; Actinopteri; Syngnathiformes; Syngnathidae. The transcript has a single exon. The record is from RefSeq and is a predicted model, not a curated record.
GUGCACAUGAUGUUAAUUAAACCUGUCUGACACUUAUGAUGAGUACAAAGGAACCACUGAUGGC